AGUGAACGCUGGCGGUAGGCCUAACACAUGCAAGUCGAACGGCAGCACAGUAAGAGCUUGCUCUUACGGGUGGCGAGUGGCGGACGGGUGAGGAAUACAUCGGAAUCUACUUUUUCGUGGGGGAUAACGUAGGGAAACUUACGCUAAUACCGCAUGCGACCUACGGGUGAAAGCAGGGGAUCUUCGGACCUUGCGCGAUUGAAUGAGCCGAUGUCGGAUUAGCUAGUUGGCGGGGUAAAGGCCCACCAAGGCGACGAUCCGUAGCUGGUCUGAGAGGAUGAUUAGCCACACUGGAACUGAGACACGGUCCAGACUCCUACGGGAGGCAGCAGUGGGGAAUAUUGGACAAUGGGCGCAAGCCUGAUCCAGCCAUACCGCGUGGGUGAAGAAGGCCUUCGGGUUGUAAAGCCCUUUUGUUGGGAAAGAAAAGCAGCAGGUUAAUACCCCGCUGUUCUGACGGUACCCAAAGAAUAAGCACCGGCUAACUUCGUG
RNAcentral lists this ribosomal RNA (492 nucleotides) under uncultured bacterium. RNAcentral's name for it is "partial 16S ribosomal RNA". It matches the Rfam family "Bacterial small subunit ribosomal RNA", at positions 29 to 507 of the family's 1533-position model. The record is from RNAcentral.